AUUGAACGCUGGCGGCAGGCCUAACACAUGCAAGUCGAACGGUAACAGGAAACAGCUUGCUGUUUCGCUGACGAGUGGCGGACGGGUGAGUAAUGUCUGGGAAACUGCCUGAUGGAGGGGGAUAACUACUGGAAACGGUAGCUAAUACCGCAUAACAUCGCAAGACCAAAGAGGGGGACCUUCGGGCCUCUUGCCAUCGGAUGUGCCCAGAUGGGAUUAGCUAGUAGGUGGGGUAACGGCUCACCUAGGCGACGAUCCCUAGCUGGUCUGAGAGGAUGACCAGCCACACUGGAACUGAGACACGGUCCAGACUCCUACGGGAGGCAGCAGUGGGGAAUAUUGCACAAUGGGCGCAAGCCUGAUGCAGCCAUGCCGCGUGUAUGAAGAAGGCCUUCGGGUUGUAAAGUACUUUCAGCGGGGAGGAAGGGAGUAAAGUUAAUACCUUUACUCAUUGACGUUACCCGCAGAAGAAGCACCGGCUAACUCCGUG
Molecule: ribosomal RNA, 490 nt
Filed under: uncultured bacterium
Lineage: Bacteria
Description: partial 16S ribosomal RNA
Rfam family: Bacterial small subunit ribosomal RNA
Source: RNAcentral